CCAUAUAAUGUUUUGGCUAGAACAAAGAGAUAUCAGAAAAAAGUUAAAAAGAUAAAAUAUGAGACAAAGCAAUAUCCAGAACACAAAGGGUCGCGAUCAAACAUCAGUUGCAAAAAACCAAAAAAACGGGUUAGAGAAAGAAUAAUCAUCGAAAUAAUAAAGUCACCACGAAACAAAAAGACGCAUGUCUAAAGCACCAUAAGCACAACUACCAGUUAAGAGAUAAAAAAAAACACUUUACAAACUAGAUAAUCACAUACAAGGCGCUCAUGCCAGCAAAGAACCACAAAACUCUGAAUAAAAAAUACCAAAGCUUCAAAAGAUUAACUCCGCACACCUACACCAAAGGAUACAUGAGAAGAAGAUAAACAACCUGAGUGAGGGAAAAUGAAAGCCAACCACUAAGAAACCAAAGCUUAAGCUUGAGACCAUAGACAAUCUUCCAGGCGCACAAAGCAUACACAUAUAAAAACACUAUCCAAACAUGGAUUAUCAAAUAUGGCGAAAGGGAGAGCCACAAGAGACGUGAUCAUCAAUGAAAGGUGCAUCGAGAUGAGAGAACAAAGAGAUAAAAAAGAGACAAAAUGAAAUCAACAAACCGUGGAGCCAUCCUCGAGCUAUAAAAAAGAGCAUAGAAGUCAGAUCACCAAAACUCAGAUCUUAAAAACCAAGACGAGCAGAGACUAUUGGCGGCAAACCAACGACGAGGAAUACAACAUCAAUGACAACUAAACUCUGAUCCAACUCAAGGAGAUGUAAUUUCUAACCUUAGCCAAAACC
RNAcentral lists this long non-coding RNA (780 nucleotides) under Brassica napus (rape). RNAcentral describes it as "long non-coding RNA (BNAP_LNC016196)". Lineage: Eukaryota; Viridiplantae; Streptophyta; Magnoliopsida; Brassicales; Brassicaceae. The record is from RNAcentral.